Molecule: long non-coding RNA, 201 nt
Organism: Xenia sp. Carnegie-2017
Lineage: Eukaryota; Metazoa; Cnidaria; Anthozoa; Malacalcyonacea; Xeniidae
Exons: 2
Source: RefSeq, a predicted model, not a curated record
ACUUUUUCAAAAUUAUAUUUAUUAAACAAUCUGCAAGCUUCCGUUGUUUGCGGAUGCUGAAAUAGCGACAGAAAAGGAAACAUUUCAUGACUCCGGUGAUCCACAAACUCAUAUCGGAUACAUUGGUUACAAUGAAGUUAAAUGUAGAGGAAGCAAACAUAGAUGGCAAAGAAAUUCUUUGUGUCUUAUGAAGAAUUAGUA